CCUACGGGGGGCUGCAGUUAGGAAUAUUGGACAAUGGGCGCAAGCCUGAUCCAGCCAUGCCGCGUGAACGAUGAAGGCCUUCGGGUUGUAAAGUUCUUUAGCCGAUGAUUAUAAUGACUGUAGUCGGAAAAUAAGCCCCGGCUAACUUCGUGCCAGCAGCCGCGGUAAUACGAAGGGGGCGAGCGUUGUUCGGAAUCACUGGGCGUAAAGCGUGCGUAGGCUGUUUUGCAAGUUGGAAGUGAAAGCCCAAGGCUCAACCUUGGAAUUGCUUUCAAAACUGCAAGACUCGAAUCUCGGAGAGGAUAGCGGAAUUUCCAGUGUAGUAGUGAAAUACGUAGAUAUUGGAAGGAACACCAGUGGCGUAAGCGGCUAUCUGGACGAGUAUUGACGCUGAGGCACGAAAGCGUGGGGAUCAAACAGGAUUAGAUACCCGUGUAGUC
Molecule: ribosomal RNA, 440 nt
Filed under: uncultured bacterium
Lineage: Bacteria
Description: partial 16S ribosomal RNA
Rfam family: Bacterial small subunit ribosomal RNA
Source: RNAcentral